AUGGAGCAUCACACCAGCUAUCUCCUGCUCCCUGUCCUGCACUGCAAAGGAGGCCUUUUCAUCCUCUCUACUGCCUCCAAUUUUUCUCACGAGGAAUGUGAGAGGAAAACCUUUUGUCAGUUUCAAAUACUCAUGUAUCUGAUUGUCAAUGCUGGAGAGCUGGGGCCAGGGCAGUAGUUGAUGAAUAUCACCUGACUGUCUCCUGCAGAAAAAGCAUUCCCAGAAGCACGGAGAAGUGAGGAGAAAAGGCAAUGCACCUGGAGCUGGAGACCAAGGCCCUGUUCUUACUGAUGGCCCUUGGAGCAGAUAUUUGAAUUGGAGAGAUAAAACCGUGGUUUUUGGGGUGUUAAUUUUGGUGGCUGAUGCAUUCUGUGAUUGAUUUGGCUAUUACAACUGGUAUUGAUUUUAAACACAUUAAUUGCAAAAUCUCAAUUGUGAUUUGAUUUCUGUAUUUACAAUACUAAAAACGAGGCUUUCGCCAGGAGAAGACAAUUGGCAGUACUCAGUUGGAAGUGCUUAAUUGUUAAUAUAUAUCAGCCGUGGUUCUUCAGCGUCGUCAGUGUUGCUCAGUCUUGCUCUUUGUGGCGACUACUGAAUGCUUGAAAAAUUCUCUCCUAUACUCCCACUCUGCACUGUAGAAGAGAAAGAGAGGAGAGUGGAAGAAAAAAGAGAGGGAGAGGAGAAAGAAAGAGAGGAGAGAGAAACAUGGGCAUGGAUGAUACAUAAGGUAGUUGUAAACUGUGAUCAGCUUUGAUAAUAACUAGAUAAAUUCUUUUAAUACAAAAAUAUAUAAGGCAUUUUGCCUUUUUUUCAAAUUUCAAAUAAAUGGAUUUGUAUAGAAUGUAGUCUGUUGCCCAGAGUUUUCAUUUAGCAUAAUGCAUUUGAGAUUUAUCCAUGUUGUUGUAUAUUCUUUUUAUUGCUGAGUAGUAUUCCAUUGUGUGGAUAUACCAGUUUGUUUAUCCAUUAACCUUUGAUGGAUAUUUGGGUUUUUUUCAAUAUGAGGCUCUUAUAAAUAAACCUUCUGUAAUCAGGUCUUUGUGUAGUCACACAGUUUGUUUGUUUGUUUGUUUUUUAAAAAGAUGUUAGUAUUGUAAUUGUGUUUAAUAAGAAACUGUUCAGUAUUUCUGCAUGUCUACCAAAAAUACAUGAAAUGUUAGUUGCUUCUUUUAAAAUACUUGGUAUGUUUUUGCUUUUUUAUUUUAGCAACUUAAUAUGUGUGUAUUAUAACCUCAUUGUGGUUUUAAAUUACAUUUUCCUCAGUAACUAAUAAUGCUGAGCAUCUUUUAAUGUAUUUAAUGGUCAUUCAUAUAUCUCCUCAUGAAAUGUCUGUUAAAAUUGUAUGCUCAUUUAGAAAAAUCAGGAUGAUUGUCUUGUUGAGCUUUGAAAGCUCUUUGCAUAUUAUGAAUACAAGUUCUUUAUUAGACAUACAU
RNAcentral lists this long non-coding RNA (1430 nucleotides) under Homo sapiens (human). Its description in RNAcentral is "HSALNT0408943". The record is from RNAcentral. Lineage: Eukaryota; Metazoa; Chordata; Mammalia; Primates; Hominidae.